CUUGGUCAUUUAGAGGAAGUAAAAGUCGUAACAAGGUCUCCGUUGGUGAACCAGCGGAGGGAUCAUUACCGAGUUUACAACUCCCAAACCCCUGUGAACAUACCUUAAUGUUGCCUCGGCGGAUCAGCCCGCGCCCCGUAAAACGGGACGGCCCGCCAGAGGACCCAAACUCUAAUGUUUCUUAUUGUAACUUCUGAGUAAAACAAACAAAUAAAUCAAAACUUUCAACAACGGAUCUCUUGGUUCUGGCAUCGAUGAAGAACGCAGCAAAAUGCGAUAAGUAAUGUGAAUUGCAGAAUUCAGUGAAUCAUCGAAUCUUUGAACGCACAUUGCGCCCGCUGGUAUUCCGGCGGGCAUGCCUGUUCGAGCGUCAUUUCAACCCUCAAGCCCCCGGGUUUGGUGUUGGGGAUCGGCUCUGCCUUCUGGCGGUGCCGCCCCCGAAAUACAUUGGCGGUCUCGCUGCAGCCUCCAUUGCGUAGUAGCUAACACCUCGCAACUGGAACGCGGCGCGGCCAUGCCGUAAAACCCCAACUUCUGAAUGUUGACCUCGGAUCAGGUAGGAAUACCCGCUGAACUUAAGCAUAUCAAUAAGCGGAGGA
Molecule: ribosomal RNA, 599 nt
Filed under: uncultured Fusarium
Lineage: Eukaryota; Fungi; Ascomycota; Sordariomycetes; Hypocreales; Nectriaceae
Description: eukaryotic LSU rRNA
Rfam family: 5.8S ribosomal RNA (bases 220-373)
Source: RNAcentral